RNAcentral lists this ribosomal RNA (537 nucleotides) under uncultured bacterium. RNAcentral describes it as "bacterial SSU rRNA". It matches the Rfam family "Bacterial small subunit ribosomal RNA", at positions 777 to 1312 of the family's 1533-position model. The record is from RNAcentral.
AAUAGAUACCCGGGUAGUCCACGCCGUAAACGAUGAGUGCUAAGUGUUAGAGGGUUUCCGCCCUUUAGUGCUGUAGCUAACGCAUUAAGCACUCCGCCUGGGGAGUACGGCCGCAAGGCUGAAACUCAAAGGAAUUGACGGGGGCCCGCACAAGCGGUGGAGCAUGUGGUUUAAUUCGAAGCAACGCGAAGAACCUUACCAGGUCUUGACAUCCUCUGACACUCCUAGAGAUAGGAUUUUCCCCUUCGGGGGACAGAGUGACAGGUGGUGCAUGGUUGUCGUCAGCUCGUGUCGUGAGAUGUUGGGUUAAGUCCCGCAACGAGCGCAACCCUUGAUCUUAGUUGCCAGCAUUUAGUUGGGCACUCUAAGGUGACUGCCGGUGACAAACCGGAGGAAGGUGGGGAUGACGUCAAAUCAUCAUGCCCCUUAUGACCUGGGCUACACACGUGCUACAAUGGAUGGUACAAAGGGCUGCAAGACCGCGAGGUUUAGCCAAUCCCAUAAAACCAUUCUCAGUUCGGAUUGCAGGCUGCAACG